UACGUAGGGCGCAAGCGUUAUCCGGAAUUAUUGGGCGUAAAGAGCUCGUAGGCGGUUUGUCGCGUCUGCCGUGAAAGUCCGGGGCUCAACUCCGGAUCUGCGGUGGGUACGGGCAGACUAGAGUGAUGUAGGGGAGGCUGGAAUUCCUGGUGUAGCGGUGAAAUGCGCAGAUAUCAGGAGGAACACCGGUGGCGAAGGCGGGUCUCUGGGCCGAUACUGACGCUGAGGAGCGAAAGCGUGGGGAGCGAACAGG
RNAcentral lists this ribosomal RNA (253 nucleotides) under uncultured bacterium. RNAcentral describes it as "partial 16S ribosomal RNA". It matches the Rfam family "Bacterial small subunit ribosomal RNA", at positions 524 to 776 of the family's 1533-position model. The record is from RNAcentral.